CACAAUGUGGGCCACUACUAAUUGACUAGGAACAUGUGCUGAAAUUAAAGAAAUGCAUGGACUCAAUAGGUGAUAAAAAGGCAAGUAGUGAGGUGCCCUCACACUCAAAAUGCCCAAACAAUACAUGUAGAUCCUUAAUUUCAUAGUCUUUGAGUUUUUAUCCCUUUGGAGAUUAUAUACACACAUCAUUCAUGCAUCGAGCUAGUGUUUGUUGCAUCACAUCUGGAUUUGUUGUUUAGGCUUGGAAAGCAUUGAGAGUUACUCUUUUACGCCAUGUUGCGUUUCCACAAGUAACUUGGUCCCUUCAACCUUGUUCAGAAUGACCGAUUGGGAGUUGGAGAGACCUUUCAUGUGAAGUGUCAAGGACACAUGAUGUUGGUGGAUACGUAGCAUUCUUCUGGGGCACGAACGCCAACAACCUUGUGGCAAAUGUUAGCCUGAAUAUUACCAUGGUGUGGGAUAAACCACAAUUAGGGCAUUCCGGGUAGAACUCAGGGAACCUAUGGCCAAAAGACAGGCGUAGCAAUAAUAAAAAUGACAUCAAUUUUACAGAUAUCAAUGUGCAAAGACAAACUUAGCACAAGAUAUUCAUCCGUACGGAGUUUACUCCUACGCACCCGAGCGUUCAAAUGCUCGAGAUCUCAAUCUCCCCACCCCUGAUUUCAACGGGUGGGCGCCCGGUGUGCAAAACCUUUACUAAAAAAGGAAGUUUGAUGCUAUCCAAAUUGUUUUUUCUUUUAAACGCAAUACAGAC
RNAcentral lists this long non-coding RNA (754 nucleotides) under Hordeum vulgare. Its description in RNAcentral is "long non-coding RNA (HVUL_LNC008161)". Lineage: Eukaryota; Viridiplantae; Streptophyta; Magnoliopsida; Poales; Poaceae. The record is from RNAcentral.